Molecule: long non-coding RNA, 5351 nt
Organism: Mirounga angustirostris (Northern elephant seal)
Lineage: Eukaryota; Metazoa; Chordata; Mammalia; Carnivora; Phocidae
Exons: 17
Source: RefSeq, a predicted model, not a curated record
UAAAAUUACAUUUCCAAGAAUAAUCUUGGAACAAGACAAGUUUUUGUUCAAUUAAUUGUGGCUGGAAACUUUUUAAUGGAAACAUAGCACACACUUACUUCAUUUCAGAUUAUUAAAUUGUGUUAAGCGUUAAAGUUAGUUGCCGUUCUUUGCUGUAGCUUGUUUGUUCUUUUCAAUCCAGAGAAAUAUUAGAAGGUUAAAACUUAUCACAUAGGAGGGAUUAAUCAUGCUACCAAAAUUAGACAGCAUGUAGUUCUGAGAGACUGAAUGUCAAAAUUGUGUGCUCGUAGCCCUUAAACUAUUGAGAGUCUAGGACCCACUACUAUAUUUAAAAUGAUAGUUCAUGUCUGUGGAAACCCUGGAUGUUUAGGAGCUGGUAAAGCUGGGGUUCUCUUACUCUUUGAUUAAGGGCACCACUUUCAGAUAAAAACAUAGACCUGAAUGGCAUCAUCCAGUAUCCAAGGAAACCAUAUUUGUUGGCUGUCCUCCUCCCCAUUAGUGCCUUGUAUGGAGUAAAGUGUAGCCAAUAAUGCUUACUGAAUGAACACACACAUAUAUGUCUUUUCCUCUCAUCUGGAAAGCAGCUUCACCUUUCAUAAAAGUACCGGCAAGAGGAAAGAAAUGACAGUAAGACUGAAUUAUGAACUUUAAAAAGUUGAGAACAAGUACCUACUUGUACUGUGAAAGCUGCUGUCUCUGCUCUUGAUGAACUGUCUGCAGUAGGUCAGUGGUGAGCACCGCGUGCCGUGGCGAUGAUUGUUGUAGCAGGCAGGCAGGUGGGGGACCCAAAGAGAGGAGUUUCUUUUAGUCCUCUCUUUAAUACGGGGAUUAUCCAAACUCUGCUUUAAUAAAAUGGCUUAUUUCCUAGACUUGCUUCCAAUAUCAUCUGUAGAUCAUAAUUAGCUUUGUGUGUGUGUUUGUGCUGGGGUGGGGGCUGUGAGAGGGAGAGGUAUGUGUGUGUGUAUGUGUGUGUGUAAAUAUAUGUAUAUAUUUCACUGUAUAUAUGAGAUUAUCUAUAUGCACAGUUUCAUCUAUAAUACACACACAUAGAUACACACACAUACACAGUGAUUUAGAUAUUGAUCUCCUAUUGAAUUUUCUCCAUAGAGGUAAGUACUAAUAUCCCUCUCUUAGACGAACUUGAGGUCAGAGCAGUUAACUAAAUUAUAAGUUAGGUAACUUGCCCAAAGUCAAAAAGCUGGAAAGUAGUGGAAUUCCAACCCAGGCCUGACUGAACCCCAUAGUCCAGAACACACACUUACUACUCUCUUUUUCUCUUCUCCCCUUGCUCCUUGCCUUCCUCUCAUUCUUCCCUUUCUGGUCUUUUACUGAAGAAUCAAAUGAUUCACAAAGGAAAUAUAAUAAAAUAAUUAAAAAUGACUUAAAUCCAUUAAAAAGAUAUCACAUAGCCAAAGGGAAGACUGGGAUAAGAAUGAAAACACAGUGAGACUAGAUGUGAAUUUAAUGACAAUGAUGACUGAUUUCCUAGCAGCCACGCUGAAGAAAGUAACUAGAAGAGCCAUUCAUCUCACAAACCAGUUACUCAGAAGUGAUGAAAACAAUGUCACCAUUUAUACAGCUUGUUUUUUAUGGUGGUCUUUGGUUAUGAUAUUUGGUACAAGCCUCGGAUGAUCUGGCUUAAUUUCUUACUUUAUCUGUAUAAUCUCAUGUAUAGGUUCAUGCAUGGUGCCCACACAGACAUCUUGGCACAAAGAAACAAAAUAUUGAGGAAUGGGUCCAUACCUCAGACCUAGUGUUCGUCCUUCCUGGAGAGACAAGCAGUCACCUCUGAGAAAUAACCGUCGAUUUUCAUCUAGAUCUUUCCACAUUCUGGGAAUGGAGUGUUUGCAUCAGGAAUGAACAAAUCACAAAUGAACGCCAUUUUGUGUUUUGGUUACAUGGGAUGACUCAGAGAGAUGAGUGUUUUCAAGAAGAAUUUGCAGACUAAAGAUCUGCUAUAUGGAGUAGAAAACUAAGGAAAUACGCUUCCUCCAAGAGAUGAUUUCCUGCUGCAUUUUGCAUCCGUGCUUUUUCCAUUGUAUCUUCCUUUCUUAAGCCUAGAUUGACCUAUUAAUUUAAAAGGCUGGAUCUUUCCUAGUGUGCUCGGAAACCCAACCUGAGUAACCAGACACUUGCACAAGUGAUUUUAUCGAGUGUGUUCUGUUUAUUUGACUGUCCCUACUUGCUCCUUAUAAUUAAAUUCUUAUGCCCACCAAAGGACGACACCAUGUGCUUCGUAUUGUCCUACCGGACAUCGAAAUGGAUUGUUUAUAACGUUUCCACCAUUACCAAACCUCUUUGUGACCUUUUGGAGCUGCUUGCCCUGAACUUACGGACAUCUGUUUGGCUGUAGGAUGGAAGUCAAUAGGAGGGAGGGUUUCAAAACUUGAAAGAGCUGAGUAAGAUUUCACUGACUUAGCAUUUGUCCUCUUUGCACUAUGGUUCACUGGCACAGUUUUUCUAAAAGGGAAGCAUUAGGGAAAGUUUAUUCUGUCAGAUUCCAUGCUGCAUGCUGGAGCCUACAGAUUUGGCCCUCGCUCUUGGGGAGUUCACGUUCUUUUGGGAAGGAAAAGACAUACCCAUAUCACUAGGAUCUGAGGAGAAUUAAAAUGAGAAUGAAAAAUACUGGUCUCAAGUGGUAACUGAGUACAUCUGCAUGAAGUCUUUGCUUUCCUGCUUACCACACAACCGACGGAAACAGGGACUGGAAAAAAAAUGACCAUUUAAAAAUAGUUUACAUUCUAUGAAGAAUGCCUUGGAUGUACAGAAAUAAGGACACUGCUGGAAUCUCAGAGAGAAGUGGAAGCCUUGUAUCUUUUGAGUUCAGAGUUGAAAUAAAGGAAGAAUCUGUGAAAAGUAGGAACAGUUUAGGAGACCUGUGGACAGACUUUCAAAAAAGCAAAUGUGAAGUUUCAACCUGACUAGCUGUUUAAGUACCAGCAAGCAUGAGCCUUCAACUGAGAUCAAGAGGACAUGACAAGGCUUGGGAACCACUGGAGAUUUUGAAAUGAUCUAUUUGUUGAUCAGCACCUUGGAUCCUAAAUUUGUCACCAGCUUCAGAUUUAUCUCCCAAGCCAGUAUUUUGGGAAGUUAUUAUAAUUUAAGGCCCAAUAAUGAUCGGUCAUUCCCUGGACUCCAACUUCUGUUUCAUCUCCAACAUACAGAGUAGAGAAGAAAUGAACUGCUACAUGGAGAUUGCUGUCUUCUACUUUAUCAAGACAGUGGUGUACCUUCACUUUUUCUUUCUGGGGCAUGUGAUUCAAGAAGAAGCAGAGUCUUAUUACAGAAUUGAAACCAAGGCAUGUCAGGAGUAUACAGAUAUCUCUCCUCUGAACUUUGAAGGAGAUUGUUUGCUGCUAACAUAAAAAUAAAACUGUUUACAAAUCAUUAGCUUUUAAAAAAAAUGACCUCUACAUUGUGAGGCACUCUGCCUGUUGGACAAAUACAAAAAGAAUCGAUUCUUGCAUAGCUCUUGACUAAAGAGCUUUAAUGAAUAACCACCUGCAGAGCUUGUUAGACUUCUGAGUUAUAUGUAUGGUUUAUAAUUGCAGCCAUGUGGCAAAUACAACGAGUUGACCAUAUUAAUAGUGAGUUUAUCUACACCAUCUGCUGUCAUAUUGACAUCUACUUUCUUCAACAUAGCAUCCUAUUUAUGUUCUGUUAUUUCUUCUUUUCCUUAUUCAUUUCAAAUCAUCCCCACUGAUAUCUGCACCAUUUCAUGAUAUCAGGAAAAAAAAAAAAAAGGAGGCUUUCGGUGAAGGAGUGGUGGAUGGCAGGGAUAAGUGGUCAAAGGACUCAGUAAAGUCAUAAUUCAUGGAUCCAGAAAACUGUGUAAAAAGGUGAAUCUUCAGCCCAAACAAUCUGCCAGAGUUUUGAAGAAAAAUACGAUGUGAUCAUGUUGCAAAGUAUAUGAAGAAACAGUAUGAAAAGUAAUCUGGCUCAAGCAAUGGAAUCCAGAAAGAAGGAGAUUAUUAUGACUCUGAGCCUAUGGAUGAGUGGGUAUUGUUAUCCCUGAAUUUUAGUCCUUAAGACAAAUGAUAUACCCAGGCAUAGCUGGAAGGUAGAAUGUAGUAUAUGGAAGUGGAUGAAGGACAUGUGCUCAGAACCCUCUUGCCUUUGCAGGAUGUGUUGGCAUAUUGCAAACAUUUGAAAAAUGCCAGAGCCACAGAGCCACUGGCCUCGGAAUUCUCAACACAGAGUUCUAAUGAACCACUGUCAAUUGCUAAGAGAUAGUUUUGACGAAACUUCUUUGUCACACUUGGACUACAACAAGAAAUCCAGAGUGAAAAGCCCACACCCAGUGAAAUCAAUGUGAGCUGAUUCCACUCUAUCUUCCAGUGGAUGAAGGUUUGAAAUAUUUCUGCUCUGCUUUAACAAAAUUCAGAACCUAACUGCUAAACAUGCUCUAUUCUGUCCAGACUCUGGGCCACUGUUUCUGAGCUUAUGUAACAUGACCAAGGAAAUGCAGCUAAUAUGUAGCAGCACUAAGAUUUCUACCUGGCUGUGUGCUGUCUAACCAUGGGACCUCUGUACUUUAUCACCACAAGUACAGCCUUCUGCCUGGAGAUGCUCUCCUUCUUCCAAGACUGAUUUGAUGACUGCUUUUAGAAUUUCAAUCUGUAGAAGAGACUCAAUAGCUGUAAAGGAUGGAAGGGUGCAAAGCAGCUUGGAACUCACAACAAAAGGAAACCAGGACAAAAAAUUUAGAUAAAACAACUUGUGACCAUGGGAUCUGCUCCUUGUGUCUACUGAACAGAGCCCCAUAACAGGCUGGAGAAAGAGGUUUCUGCAAAUGCUCAGUGGGGACAGUGUUACUGCUCAGUUCCUGCUUCUGUUGAAAAGUUACCGUGCAGGUGACAAUCUUCUGUUCUCUCUCCUGAGAAGAGAUAUGCCUGAGUUCUUACAGUACCCUGAGACAUAAUUCACCAUGGCCAGAAUGGAUUUGCUGUACAUAGGAGUCAUCCUUCUAACCUGCCAUGUCCAUAGGUCUCUAAGUCCACUGAUGACAGGAAAAUCUUCAGUGGUUCCAGAGACAAGCUGCUGGAAAUCCUGCACAUUUAUCUUCUAGAAGGAAGUGAGCUGAUUAGGAUAGUGGUCCCUUCAGAAAGAACCUCCCCCGCAAAACUUUAAAGGACUCCAAAUUAAGCCAUGUCCAUUUCUGGGACCCUAAAGUGGCUCAUGAAAGUCAAGGACUACUUGCUUAAUACUAGGUGAUUUCAAAAGCCUUAAGAUUCUAAGGGGAGAGUGAGGAUGGGGAAGGUGAUGGUGAAUAAAUUGGAGAACCUACCAAAUAACAGGGUGUCUCUUUAUUCCAAGCAUCAUUUUCUAUCUCACAUUGUGUCUUUCAAUUA